Non-coding RNA from Arabidopsis thaliana (thale cress), 109 nucleotides. Lineage: Eukaryota; Viridiplantae; Streptophyta; Magnoliopsida; Brassicales; Brassicaceae. The record is from RefSeq.
GUUGACCAUCAAUACAUUCGUAAUCAGACCAAAUCCAAGAGCUAUACGGAUUGUUGCCAUGUGUAUAGCUCUUGGAUUUGGUCUGAUUACGAAUGUAUUGAUGGUUGAC